This 991-nucleotide ribosomal RNA is filed under the name uncultured archaeon. Its description in RNAcentral is "bacterial SSU rRNA". It matches the Rfam family "Archaeal small subunit ribosomal RNA", at positions 437 to 1434 of the family's 1478-position model. The record is from RNAcentral.
AAGAGGUGGGCAAGACCGGUGCCAGCCGCCGCGGUAACACCGGCACCUCGAGUGGUAGCCACUAUUAUUGGGCCUAAAGCGUUCGUAGCCGGUUUGGUAAAUUCUUGGGUAAAUCGUACAGCUUAACUGUGCGGAUUCCGGGGACACUACCAGACUUGAGACCGGGAGAGAUCAGAAGUACUUGUAGGGGAGCGGUGAAAUGUUGUAAUCCUACAGGGACUACCAGUGGCGAAGGCGUCUGAUCAUAACGGCUUUGACGGUGAGGAACGAAACCCUGGGGCGCAAACGGGAUUAGAUACCCCGGUAGUCCAGGGCGUAAACGCUGCUGACUUGGUGUUGGAGAUCCUACGAGGGUGUCCAGUGCUGGCGCGAAGGCAUUUAGUCAGCCGCCUGGGGAGUACGGUCGCAAGACUGAAACUUAAAGGAAUUGGCGGGGGAGCACUGCAACGUGUGGAGCGUGCGGUUUAAUUGGAUUCAACGCCGGAAAACUCACCGGGGGCGACGGUUACAUGAAGGCCAAGCUGAUGACUUUGCCUGAUUUUCCGAGAGGUGGUGCAUGGCCGCCGUCAGUUCGUACCGUAAGGCGUUCUGUUAAGUCAGAUAACGAACGAGACCUCCGUCACCAUUUGCUAUUCUCUUCUCCGGAAGGGGAGCACUAUGGUGGUACCGCCACUGUUAAAGUGGAGGAAGGAGGGGGCAACGGUAGGUCAGUAUGCCCCGAAUCUCCCGGGCUACACGCGCGCUACAAAGGCCAGGACAAUGGGCUUCGACACCGAAAGGUGGAGGCAACCCCGAAACCUGGUCGUAAUUCGGAUUGAGGGCUGCAAUUCGCCCUCAUGAAGCUGGAAUACGUAGUAAUCGCGGGUCAACAUCCCGCGGUGAAUAUGCCCCUGCUCCUUGCACACACCGCCCGUCAAACCACCUUAGUUGGGUCUGGACGAGGGUUUGUCUUAUGACACGCUCGAAUCUGGGUCAGCGAGGAGGGUAAGUC